This 110-nucleotide transfer RNA is filed under the name Bacteriophage sp. Its description in RNAcentral is "tRNA-OTHER". The record is from RNAcentral. RNAcentral also lists the same sequence under 1 other name.
UUCCUCUUAGCUCAGCCAGGCAGAGCAUCGCUAUGGUUACUUGUUCGAAGGUUUAGUAUCCGGUAAUUUCCGGUUAGCGAAGGUCGCACGUUCGAGUCGUGCAGAGGGAG